AUCCUUGGGAGUGUUGUACUCAUUUUAAAGGUAGACAACUGAAGUAUAGAAGAGUUAAACAGCUUGCCUAAUCACUCGAACGGAGAGGAGUCCUGCGCUCUGCAAUAGCGGACUGCAACAUCUCCCAACAACAAAAGAAAGUGCACUUCUGAUGAAACCGGCCACCCACUGUCUCACAUUUGAUUGGAUCUCCGAAUGACCAUCAGCAUCAUCAACCACGAAAUACAUGCCAGUUUUUAACUCCCUGCUAGGUCCUCAAGAUCUUAAAGUCUAAAACUUGGACCUCGCCCUCAAGGAGCUUACCGUUUAAAAAGGAAAAAAGCCAACUAUGUCAAAACCGUCAACCUGCCUAGACAGACAACAGCAUGGCAAGGCUGGGAGAGGGAGAAGUGGGGGUGCUUCUAGACACUUCAGGAGCUGCAGCAAUACUUUUGUCUAUUUUCUAGGACUUCCUGGUACACUCACUUGGUGCUGCACUACUCCCUUAUAGUCUGUUAGGUCCUCAUCUAUGAGGGGACAUUAGCAUUGAAUCACAGAAUCUUAGAGCUGGCAUGGAGCUUGGAGGUCAUUUAAUCCAACCCACUCAUUUUAAAAACUGGCCAUCUGAGACCCAACGAUGUUAAACAGCUUGGCCAAGGUCAUGCAGCUAGUUUAGUAAUGAAAUUGGAACUAUAAACCAUGUCUUCUGAUAGCUGCUUUUUUCUGCUGCUACUCAAAUUGAUGGCAGUUUUAACCAUU
Leptonychotes weddellii (Weddell seal) is the source of this 738-nucleotide non-coding RNA. The record is from RefSeq and is a predicted model, not a curated record. Lineage: Eukaryota; Metazoa; Chordata; Mammalia; Carnivora; Phocidae.